Non-coding RNA from Meleagris gallopavo (turkey), 289 nucleotides. Lineage: Eukaryota; Metazoa; Chordata; Aves; Galliformes; Phasianidae. The record is from RefSeq and is a predicted model, not a curated record.
ACCUUUUGGGGAUGCAUUGUGUCAAUCGCAGUCCACUCUGCUGAGCAUCUUCUCCCAGGAGUACCAGAAACAAAUAAAAAGAACACAUGCCAAGCAUCAUACUGCAGAAGCAGUUGAAUCUUACUACCAAAGGUACCUGAAUGGGGUGAUGAAAAAUGCCACUGCCCCUGUUUUACUGGAGCUGGCCAAUGAGAUGGACUUUGCCCCAUCUCUCAUGGCUCGCAUUGUGUUGGAAAGAUUUCUACAAGAGCAGGAACAAGCCAUCCGUAAGUUUCUCUAGUAUUUUUCU